RNAcentral lists this transfer RNA (86 nucleotides) under bacterium. Its description in RNAcentral is "tRNA-Leu". It matches the Rfam family "tRNA". From Rfam's summary of the family: Transfer RNA (tRNA) molecules are approximately 80 nucleotides in length. The record is from RNAcentral. RNAcentral also lists the same sequence under 1 other name.
GCCGCGAUGGCGAAAUUGGUAGACGCAUCGGACUUAAAAUCCGACGAUAUUAAAACAUCAUGAGGGUUCGAGUCCCUCUCGCGGCA